CGAGCGACGCAUGCCGGAGGGGUAACCCACUGGUAUGACGGAGCGGCGAACGGGUGAGUAACACGUGAGCAACCUGCCCCACAGACCGGAACAGCCCAGGGAAACCUGGAUUAAUGCCGGAUGCCCUCAUCGGACCACAUGGCCUGAUGAGGAAAUGCCUUUGUGCUGUGGGAUGGGCUCGCGGCUUAUCAGCUAGUUGGUGGGGUAACGGCCUACCAAGGCGUCGACGAGUAGCUGGUCUGAGAGGACGAUCAGCCACACUGGGACUGAGAUACGGCCCAGACUCCUACGGGAGGCAGCAGCAGGGAAUCUUGCGCAAUGGGCGAAAGCCUGACGCAGCAACGCCGCGUGGGGGAUGACGGCCUUCGGGUUGUAAACCCCUUUCAGGAGGGAAGAAAUUGACGGUACCUCCAAAAGAAGCACCGGCCAACUACGUGCCAGCAGCCGCGGUAAUACGUAGGGUGCGAGCGUUAUCCGGAAUCAUUGGGCGUAAAGAGCUCGUAGGCGGUUCAGCAAGUCGGCUGUGAAAGUCCGAGGCUCAACCUCGGAACUGCAGUCGAUACUGCUGUGACUCGAGUCCGGUAGAGGAGAAUGGAAUUCCCGGUGUAGCGGUGAAAUGCGCAGAUAUCGGGAGGAACACCAGUA
RNAcentral lists this ribosomal RNA (645 nucleotides) under uncultured bacterium. RNAcentral describes it as "bacterial SSU rRNA". It matches the Rfam family "Bacterial small subunit ribosomal RNA", at positions 58 to 714 of the family's 1533-position model. The record is from RNAcentral.